RNAcentral lists this microRNA (20 nucleotides) under Rehmannia glutinosa. RNAcentral's name for it is "rgl-miR7798". Lineage: Eukaryota; Viridiplantae; Streptophyta; Magnoliopsida; Lamiales; Orobanchaceae. The record is from miRBase by way of RNAcentral.
AGGGAGUGUUUGCAAAAACU